GGGUUGUGAGGUUAAGCGACUAAGCGUACACGGUGGAUGCCCUGGCAGUCAGAGGCGAUGAAGGACGUGCUAAUCUGCGAUAAGCGUCGGUAAGGUGAUAUGAACCGUUAUAACCGGCGAUUUCCGAAUGGGGAAACCCAGUGUGUUUCGACACACUAUCAUUAACUGAAUCCAUAGGUUAAUGAGGCGAACCGGGGGAACUGAAACAUCUAAGUACCCCGAGGAAAAGAAAUCAACCGAGAUUCCCCCAGUAGCGGCGAGCGAACGGGGAGCAGCCCUGAGCCUGAAUCAGUGUGUGUGUUAGUGGAAGCGUCUGGAAAGGCGCGCGAUACAGGGUGACAGCCCCGUACACAAAAAUGCACAUGCUGUGAGCUCGAUGAGUAGGGCGGGACACGUGGUAUCCUGUCUGAAUAUGGGGGGACCAUCCUCCAAGGCUAAAUACUCCUGACUGACCGAUAGUGAACCAGUACCGUGAGGGAAAGGCGAAAAGAACCCCGGCGAGGGGAGUGAAAAAGAACCUGAAACCGUGUACGUACAAGCAGUGGGAGCACGCUUAGGCGUGUGACUGCGUACCUUUUGUAUAAUGGGUCAGCGACUUAUAUUCUGUAGCAAGGUUAACCGAAUAGGGGAGCCGAAGGGAAACCGAGUCUUAACUGGGCGUUAAGUUGCAGGGUAUAGACCCGAAACCCGGUGAUCUAGCCAUGGGCAGGUUGAAGGUUGGGUAACACUAACUGGAGGACCGAACCGACUAAUGUUGAAAAAUUAGCGGAUGACUUGUGGCUGGGGGUGAAAGGCCAAUCAAACCGGGAGAUAGCUGGUUCUCCCCGAAAGCUAUUUAGGUAGCGCCUCGUGAAUUCAUCUCCGGGGGUAGAGCACUGUUUCGGCAAGGGGGUCAUCCCGACUUACCAACCCGAUGCAAACUGCGAAUACCGGAGAAUGUUAUCACGGGAGACACACGGCGGGUGCUAACGUCCGUCGUGAAGAGGGAAACAACCCAGACCGCCAGCUAAGGUCCCAAAGUCAUGGUUAAGUGGGAAACGAUGUGGGAAGGCCCAGACAGCCAGGAUGUUGGCUUAGAAGCAGCCAUCAUUUAAAGAAAGCGUAAUAGCUCACUGGUCGAGUCGGCCUGCGCGGAAGAUGUAACGGGGCUAAACCAUGCACCGAAGCUGCGGCAGCGACGCUUAUGCGUUGUUGGGUAGGGGAGCGUUCUGUAAGCCUGUGAAGGUGUGCUGUGAGGCAUGCUGGAGGUAUCAGAAGUGCGAAUGCUGACAUAAGUAACGAUAAAGCGGGUGAAAAGCCCGCUCGCCGGAAGACCAAGGGUUCCUGUCCAACGUUAAUCGGGGCAGGGUGAGUCGACCCCUAAGGCGAGGCCGAAAGGCGUAGUCGAUGGGAAACAGGUUAAUAUUCCUGUACUUGGUGUUACUGCGAAGGGGGGACGGAGAAGGCUAUGUUGGCCGGGCGACGGUUGUCCCGGUUUAAGCGUGUAGGCUGGUUUUCCAGGCAAAUCCGGAAAAUCAAGGCUGAGGCGUGAUGACGAGGCACUACGGUGCUGAAGCAACAAAUGCCCUGCUUCCAGGAAAAGCCUCUAAGCAUCAGGUAACAUCAAAUCGUACCCCAAACCGACACAGGUGGUCAGGUAGAGAAUACCAAGGCGCUUGAGAGAACUCGGGUGAAGGAACUAGGCAAAAUGGUGCCGUAACUUCGGGAGAAGGCACGCUGAUAUGUAGGUGAAGUCCCUCGCGGAUGGAGCUGAAAUCAGUCGAAGAUACCAGCUGGCUGCAACUGUUUAUUAAAAACACAGCACUGUGCAAACACGAAAGUGGACGUAUACGGUGUGACGCCUGCCCGGUGCCGGAAGGUUAAUUGAUGGGGUUAGCCGCAAGGCGAAGCUCUUGAUCGAAGCCCCGGUAAACGGCGGCCGUAACUAUAACGGUCCUAAGGUAGCGAAAUUCCUUGUCGGGUAAGUUCCGACCUGCACGAAUGGCGUAAUGAUGGCGAGGCUGUCUCCACCCGAGACUCAGUGAAAUUGAACUCGCUGUGAAGAUGCAGUGUACCCGCGGCAAGACGGAAAGACCCCGUGAACCUUUACUAUAGCUUGACACUGAACAUUGAGCCUUGAUGUGUAGGAUAGGUGGGAGGCUUAGAAGUGUGGACGCCAGUCUGCAUGGAGCCGACCUUGAAAUACCACCCUUUAAUGUUUGAUGUUCUAACGUUGACCCGUAAUCCGGGUUGCGGACAGUGUCUGGUGGGUAGUUUGACUGGGGCGGUCUCCUCCUAAAGAGUAACGGAGGAGCACGAAGGUUGGCUAAUCUGGUCGGACAUCAGGAGGUUAGUGCAAUGGCAUAAGCCAGCUUGACUGCGAGCGUGACGGCGCGAGCAGGUGCGAAAGCAGGUCAUAGUGAUCCGGUGGUUCUGAAUGGAAGGGCCAUCGCUCAACGGAUAAAAGGUACUCCGGGGAUAACAGGCUGAUACCGCCCAAGAGUUCAUAUCGACGGCGGUGUUUGGCACCUCGAUGUCGGCUCAUCACAUCCUGGGGCUGAAGUAGGUCCCAAGGGUAUGGCUGUUCGCCAUUUAAAGUGGUACGCGAGCUGGGUUUAGAACGUCGUGAGACAGUUCGGUCCCUAUCUGCCGUGGGCGCUGGAGAACUGAGGGGGGCUGCUCCUAGUACGAGAGGACCGGAGUGGACGCAUCACUGGUGUUCGGGUUGUCAUGCCAAUGGCACUGCCCGGUAGCUAAAUGCGGAAGAGAUAAGUGCUGAAAGCAUCUAAGCACGAAACUUGCCCCGAGAUGAGUUCUCCCUGACUCCUUGAGAGUCCUGAAGGAACGUUGAAGACGACGACGUUGAUAGGCCGGGUGUGUAAGCGCAGCGAUGCGUUGAGCUAACCGGUACUAAUGAACCGUGAGGCUUAACCUUACAACGCCGAAGGUGUUU
This 2932-nucleotide ribosomal RNA is filed under the name Escherichia coli. Its description in RNAcentral is "23S ribosomal RNA". It matches the Rfam family "Bacterial large subunit ribosomal RNA". The record is from RNAcentral. Lineage: Bacteria; Pseudomonadati; Pseudomonadota; Gammaproteobacteria; Enterobacterales; Enterobacteriaceae.